GACGAACGCUGGCGGCGUGCUUAACACAUGCAAGUCGAACGGAAAGGCCCUGCUUUUGUGGGGGGCUCGAGUGGCGAACGGGUGAGUAACACGUGAGUAACCUGCCCUUGACUUUGGGAUAACUUCAGGAAACUGGGGCUAAUACCGGAUAGGAGCUCCUGCUGCAGGGGGGGGGUUGGAACGUUUCGGCGGUGUGGGCUGGACUCGCGGCUUAUCAGCUUGUUGGUGGGGUAGUGGCUUACGAAGGCUUUGACGGGUAGCCGGCCGGGGAGGGUGACCGGCCACAUGGCGCCUGCGGGACGCCCCAGACGGCUACGGGGGGCAGUGGGGGAGAAUAUUGCACAGUGGGGGGACGCCUGAGGCAGCAACGCCGCGUGCGGAAUGACGGCCUGCGGGUUGUAAACAGCUUUCUCCUGUGACGAAGCGUGAGUGACGGUACUGGGUAAAGAAGCACCGGCUAACUACGUG
RNAcentral lists this ribosomal RNA (468 nucleotides) under uncultured bacterium. RNAcentral describes it as "partial 16S ribosomal RNA". It matches the Rfam family "Bacterial small subunit ribosomal RNA", at positions 28 to 507 of the family's 1533-position model. The record is from RNAcentral.